UACGGAGGGUGCAAGCGUUAUCCGGAUUCACUGGGUUUAAAGGGUGCGUAGGCGGGCAGGUAAGUCAGUGGUGAAAUCUCCGAGCUUAACUCGGAAACUGCCGUUGAUACUAUCUGUCUUGAAUACUCGGGAGGUGAGCGGAAUAUGUCAUGUAGCGGUGAAAUGCUUAGAUAUGACAUAGAACACCAAUUGCGAAGGCAGCUCACUACAGAGUCAUUGAAGCUGAGGCACGCAAGCGUGGGGAUCACACAGGAGGCGAUACCCCGGUAGUCC
This 273-nucleotide ribosomal RNA is filed under the name uncultured bacterium. Its description in RNAcentral is "partial 16S ribosomal RNA". It matches the Rfam family "Bacterial small subunit ribosomal RNA", at positions 524 to 796 of the family's 1533-position model. The record is from RNAcentral.